Molecule: ribosomal RNA, 449 nt
Filed under: uncultured bacterium
Lineage: Bacteria
Description: bacterial SSU rRNA
Rfam family: Bacterial small subunit ribosomal RNA
Source: RNAcentral
GCCAGACUCCUACGGGAGGCAGCAGUGGGGGAUAUUGCACAAUGGGGGGAACCCUGAUGCAGCGACGCCGCGUGAGUGAAGAAGUAUUUCGGUAUGUAAAGCUCUAUCAGCAGGGAAGAAGAAAGACGGUACCUGAGUAAGAAGCCCCGGCUAACUACGUGCCAGCAGCCGCGGUAAUACGUAGGGGGCAAGCGUUAUCCGGAUUUACUGGGUGUAAAGGGAGCGUAGACGGUAUGGCAAGUCUGAAGUGAAAGCCCCGGGCUCAACCUGGGAAUUGCUUUGGAAACUGUUAAACUAGAGUGCUGGAGAGGCAGGCGGAAUUCCUAGUGUAGCGGUGAAAUGCGUAGAUAUUAGGAGGAACACCAGUGGCGAAGGCGGCCUGCUGGACAGUAACUGACGUUGAGGCUCGAAAGCGUGGGGAGCAAACAGGAUUAGAUACCCUAUUAGUC